ACCUGUUCCCAUCCCGAACACAGAAGUUAAGCUCGUAUGCGCCGACGAUAGUUGCCGGGUGACUGGCCGUGAAAAUAGGUAAUGCCAACA
This 90-nucleotide ribosomal RNA is filed under the name Oscillospiraceae bacterium. The record is from RNAcentral. Lineage: Bacteria; Bacillati; Bacillota; Clostridia; Eubacteriales; Oscillospiraceae.